CGCAAUAGGUUCUGGGACGAUAGAUUUAUCAUCCAGCAAAAUAUGUCAUUGUGACAGGCCUGGUUGUGUUACAGCAGCUCUGUAGCAGCAGUGGCUUUGUGUUUUAUUGCUCUGGAGCCUUUGGGGUGUGUGUUAACACACUGCUGCUGCUGCUGCUAAUUGAUCUAGGCACUAAAGGGCUUCCCUAGUCAUUUAAACAUCAUCAUUCUGUGGUGUAAAGAUUACUCAUAAUUGGAAAACACUCAAGACUAGUACAAAGAAAAUAGCAAACAGGAACCAGAAUACGUGAAUAGCAUCUUCACACGUCAGGUAAAUGAGACCCAAACCUACUUUUUUUGCCCCUUUGACCAGUCUGGACGGCCAAAUUCUGAUCUUUUCAGCCCCAAAAAAUCUGAUUUGCGUCAGUUCCAUAUAUGGUACAGCAAAUACGCAUUUGAUCGUCUUCAAACCUUUGCGUCAUUUAUGAGAGAGAAAUGUAACCAGGAUCAUUUUUUCAUUUUUGUUAGAUUCAGUUUUAUUUAUUUAUUUUACUUAAAGAUUUAUUUAAAAAAUAAAAUCCUCCUUUCCUUAAUUUAUUCAGCACAAAAUAAACCAAGCGAGAACAAAACAACACACUGUUCUCGCGGGGUUUUAAAGUCACAUGACAGCUGCUGCUUACAUGGCUGAUGAACAGCUUCCUGGGUAGGAGACGCUGUCAGACGCUGGAGUGCAGACGUGCGAUUGUUUAGCCAAACGUUCUAGAGAGCACACGGUUUGUCAAGUGGGAACAGGUGAAUGUUUUGUUUGUUUGUUUGUUUGUUUGUUUGUUUGUUUGUUUGUUUGUUUGUUUGUUUGUUUGUUUGUUUGUUUGUGAGCUAGCAUGCUAGCACUAGCCUCCCAUCUAUUGUUGAACUCGGUCAGUAUGAACACUGAAACAUUUAAACUGACAAUAUUUCAAUUAUAAAACACUAUCAUUGUGUAAAAUGAAAUGCCUGAGUAUUUGCAUGAGUUUAACUAAUGUCAUGUAAACUCAUUUUGCUGCAGUAAUUUGAAAGACAUGUACAUGUGGAAUUGGUCAUUCAAGCCUGUUUUGUACAGGCAGGUUCUGUUCCAGAUUCCCAUUCCAGGAUUCUGGAUCUAGGUUCAGUCCUAGAUUGUCUGUUACCAUAGCGUCCUGACUGGCGAGCUAACCCAAACAGCGGAUCACAGAAACACCACAACCUAUCAACUUCUUCCAAACUGGUAGGAGACAUUCAGCCCAACAAUCUUCACUCUGGACUGGACCACAAAGAAGGGAACUGGAUUAUUUUCUUUUUCAUUAUUUCAUUCAUCAGCAGCAAGAAACUGAACUCCUUGGACAAAGGAAAACAUUCUGGACUUUAACCGUUUUGAAUAACCUGUAUGUAUAUAUUUUAAAUAUGAAUACAUUUCACUAGUUUUGCACCA
This is a non-coding RNA of Poecilia reticulata (guppy), 1425 nucleotides long. The record is from RefSeq and is a predicted model, not a curated record. Lineage: Eukaryota; Metazoa; Chordata; Actinopteri; Cyprinodontiformes; Poeciliidae.